AUGUCACUAGCUUCUGAUGUCUCAAAUGAUGCCAUGGCCCAGAGAAGCUGCGACACCAACAUUAUCUCGGUGGAUCCAUCCCUGGAGCUGCGGUUCGUCUUCGAGCCAAGGAAGGAGACGUCGUGCUGCCUACAGAUAAUCAACAAGACGGAGGGCAUCGUCGCGUUCAACAUAAAAAUUAACCAGAACAAGUAUAGUGUGCGGCCAAGCCAAGGGACCAUGCCGCCGUGCUCCUGUUGUUAUGUUAUCGUGACCUUGCAGGCGCAGGAGGCGGCGCCGCCCAACAUGCGGUGCCAGGACAUGCUCUUCGUGCAGAACACCAGCAUCACCCAAGACCUGGAAUCCAGAAAUGGUGAGAUUGAUUAUCAAGAAUUGUUUGAAAAGGCCAUGGCGGAUAAGGUGGUUGAUGUGGUGAGGCUUCCGAUCGUUUAUGUUACACCGGACCAAUAG
RNAcentral lists this ribosomal RNA (450 nucleotides) under Triticum aestivum (bread wheat). RNAcentral's name for it is "partial small subunit ribosomal RNA". Lineage: Eukaryota; Viridiplantae; Streptophyta; Magnoliopsida; Poales; Poaceae. The record is from RNAcentral.